AGUGAACGCUGGCGGUAGGCCUGACACAUGCAAGUCGAACGGCAGCACAGUAAGAGCUUGCUCUUACGGGUGGCGAGUGGCGGACGGGUGAGGAAUACAUCGGAAUCUACUUUUUCGUGGGGGAUAACGUAGGGAAACUUACGCUAAUACCGCAUACGACCUACGGGUGAAAGCAGGGGAUCUUCGGACCUUGCGCGAUUGAAUGAGCCGAUGUCGGAUUAGCUAGUUGGCGGGGUAAAGGCCCACCAAGGCGACGAUCCGUAGCUGGUCUGAGAGGAUGAUCAGCCACGCUGGAACUGAGACACGGUCCAGACUCCUACGGGAGGCAGCAGUGGGGAAUAUUGGACAAUGGGCGCAAGCCUGAUCCAGCCAUACCGCGUGGGUGAAGAAGGCCUUCGGGUUGUAAAGCCCUUUUGUUGGGAAAGAAAAGCAGCAGGUUAAUACCCCGCUGUUCUGACGGUACCCAAAGAAUAAGCACCGGCUAACUUCGUG
This 492-nucleotide ribosomal RNA is filed under the name uncultured bacterium. RNAcentral describes it as "partial 16S ribosomal RNA". It matches the Rfam family "Bacterial small subunit ribosomal RNA", at positions 29 to 507 of the family's 1533-position model. The record is from RNAcentral.